AUGUACUUCUUGAUGUCUUCUGAAUGUAUUGUUAAAUACUGUUAUUUUUUGAAUCUAGGAAGAUUCAGAUCAACUUCACCACAAGAAGAAAAUUCAGAUAUCUUUGGACUGCUGAGGUCUGACAUUCCCAAACCUAAACUUCCAUUUAGUGAGAAAUUCACUCACAAUCUUCACAUUCAAGAACAUUUGACACUACAUUACUGUAGCAGCAUGAACAUGUACACCAAAAGAAGAGAUGUCUUCAGUAAUUUCCCAAGAAUCUAGAGUACUCUGAGGUGAUUAAACAGCGAAUGGUGAUUAUUUUGCUGGCUAGAUAUGGUUUUCCUGGAAGCUCUCUGUAUCUUAAGAAGUUUGAAUGCUUGGUGCUUUAUAGAUCCCAUACCCAAAGGACCUUCUCUUAAAGUCAAAAUGUCAGAGUAUUCAAGGAUUUAAAUGAUCUUGCUGAUAGAUUAUCACAUUUAAAUUUUUUUUUUUUUUUCCUUUUCACAUGCUAGGAAUAAGACAAUUGCAAUUUUUCCAUGUCUGGUCCCUCAAACCAUUAUUUGCAUUUUUGUAGCUUACUGUAAGUUGUUGGAAUAAAAGUUGAAUAGUUUCUAAUGCCCCGCCUCUG
This 610-nucleotide long non-coding RNA is filed under the name Numida meleagris (helmeted guineafowl). Its description in RNAcentral is "lncRNA (ENSNMEG00000010709.1)". The record is from RNAcentral. Lineage: Eukaryota; Metazoa; Chordata; Aves; Galliformes; Numididae.